This 497-nucleotide ribosomal RNA is filed under the name uncultured bacterium. RNAcentral describes it as "partial 16S ribosomal RNA". It matches the Rfam family "Bacterial small subunit ribosomal RNA", at positions 28 to 507 of the family's 1533-position model. The record is from RNAcentral.
GAUGAACGCUGGCGGCGUGCCUAAUACAUGCAAGUCGAGCGAACAGACGAGGAGCUUACUCCUCUGACGUUAGCGGCGGACGGGUGAGUAACACGUGGAUAACCUACCUAUAAGACUGGGAUAACUUCGGGAAACCGGAGCUAAUACCGGAUAACAUGUUGAACCGCAUGGUUCAACAGUGAAAGACGGUCUUGCUGUCACUUAUAGAUGGAUCCGCGUCGCAUUAGCUAGUUGGUAAGGUAACGGCUUACCAAGGCAACGAUGCGUAGCCGACCUGAGAGGGUGAUCGGCCACACUGGAACUGAGACACGGUCCAGACUCCUACGGGAGGCAGCAGUAGGGAAUCUUCCGCAAUGGGCGAAAGCCUGACGGAGCAACGCCGCGUGAGUGAAGAAGGUCUUCGGAUCGUAAAGCUCUGUUAUUAGGGAAGAACAAAUGUGUAAGUAACUAUGCACGUCUUGACGGUACCUAAUCAGAAAGCCACGGCUAACUACGUG